This is a small nucleolar RNA of Papaver somniferum (opium poppy), 225 nucleotides long. RefSeq annotates it as small nucleolar RNA U3. The transcript has a single exon. The record is from RefSeq and is a predicted model, not a curated record. NCBI's taxonomy places the organism in Eukaryota, Viridiplantae, Streptophyta, Magnoliopsida, Ranunculales, Papaveraceae.
ACGACCUUACUUGAACAGGAUCUGUUCUAUAGGCUCGUACCUCUGUAUCCUUGAGUUCUAAGGAGACAGGAACCACAGUCAUGGUUGAUGAACCAUGACCGCACGACCAGAGCGUGAUUAAUGUCGCACAGGCCUAUGAUAUGAUGUAGGCCCUGUCGCUGUAGAUGAUCGUUCUCAGCUUGGCCCUUGGCCUGCUGUGGUGGUCGUGCGGUUGUCUGACAGACU